This 6937-nucleotide long non-coding RNA is filed under the name Lathyrus oleraceus (garden pea). RNAcentral's name for it is "Pisum sativum (pea) long non-coding RNA (PSAT_LNC031912)". Lineage: Eukaryota; Viridiplantae; Streptophyta; Magnoliopsida; Fabales; Fabaceae. The record is from RNAcentral.
UGCCACUCUACAGAACCGUACAUGAGAUUUUCACCGCAUACGGCUCCUCGUUCAAUUCUUUCGACGUAAUUCGAUCCUUUAUCCUCGUUCGAUAAUCUCCACUUCUUCCCCCAAACCCAAAAUCACGAGAACUAAUUAAGUCAGUCACGUUUUCAUGUUUGAAUUGAACACUUUUUUUUAUUCUCAAAGGAGAAAAUUAUUCUUUUUACUUAUUUCUUUUCUUUUUUGCCAUUAUUCCUUCGUUUCAUCCUGUAAGAUCUGACCCAUUUUCUUAUUCAUCGAAAGGUCAGGUACGGAAUAAAGAAGAUUGAUUUUUUGAUCAAAAGUACUAUAUGAAAUUGUUGGUUUUUUCUCUUUCUACCUAUGUUGUAAGUAUACUGUUUAAAUCAAUAUCAAUAGAAAACCUUUUUUUCUGUAUGAAUCAAUAUUAUUCCAUUCCAAUUCCUUGCCAAUAUUUCCCAAAGAAAAUACGGAAUUGGAUCUUAAAUUGACGGGUUAGUGUGAGCUUAUCCAUGCGGUUAUGCACUCUUUGAAUAGGAAUCUAUUUUGUGAAAAAUCCCGGCUUUCGUGCUUUGGUGGGUCUUUGAGAUCCUUUCGAUGACCUAUGUUAAAAAGAUAUCUAUCUAUUUAUGAUACGACGAUGAAUUGUGUAAAGCGUGUAGUAGCAACGGAACCAGAGAGAAUAUAUGGAAAAGACAGUUCUAUUGUAUACUAUUCUAUUAUUAUAUAUUAAUAUUAGUUAAUGAUCUCGGCUCAGCGAGUCCUUUCUUUCGUGAUGAACUACCUACAUUUUGUCGCUGUGGGCCGAGGAGAAAGGCAACAAGAGGAUUGUAACAUCAUAAAAGCAAGUAGAUCAACGUCUUUCCAAUAUACAACAUAGGUUUUGGCAAUGCAAUGUGGUUGGGCUCUCAUGUCCAUCCGAAUAAAUCAUCCUUUUCGCUGAAGUAAUUGCCUGCUAGACAAGAGGAUAACAAGUUCAAAAUUCUGUGUUAAUGGUCGGAUUACCCCUCUGUUUUUUGUUUUGUAAUGAUGAAUCUUAUAUGUGUUCCUAAAAAAAAUUUGUAUCUUUUUCAGGGUCUCGGGGAGAAGUGGAAACACAGAUGUAACUCCAGUUACUUCGUAAAUGAAAAAAUCUUUGUCACAAGAAAAAAGGGGUUCAUCCAUUUAAUCUUGCCUUCGUUCUGAUUUAUUUCUAUUUUUAAGAAUACGGAGUCGGGUUCUUACCCGUAUUGAAUAGAACACUGAGCUAAAUCUUCUUUAUUUAGAUCCGGAAAAUCCUAUGGUUUUAUGAAAUCAUAUGAUAUUGCGCAAAUCCAUAGUCAAUCCUAUUUCCGAUCGGAGCAGUUGACAAUUAAAUCUAAUUUUGCCCAUUCAGCUAAGAGUGUUCCACGGAGGCCCGUUUAAGUUAAAAAAAAAAANUAUGAGCAAGUGAAAUGGAAUAAAAGAAAUAACAAAAUUUUGAAAAUUUGUCAGUUUAUUUGAAUCAUGAGGAAAGUGUGAUUCAAAUCAAGGAGCUCAUGAUUUGAAUUAUGUACAAAAAUGAUUUGGAUCAAAUGCAACAGCCCCAACUGGAAAAUGCUGAAAAAGUGUAUGAUUUGAAUCAUGUUUAAAAUUUAUUCAAAUCAAAUCAAGCAGAAAUGAACAUCAAGAAAUUGAUUCGAAUCAUCUGUAAAAAAUGAUUUGGAUCAAAUGGUCCAAAACCAAUUAACAACCACCAACAAAUAAUUCCAAUGAACAUAUGAGCUAAACAACUAAGAAGCAUAUACAACAAUAGAGAUCUCAUAUUGAACAUAAAAAUAGACAUGUCACGAGCAACAAAAUACAAAUAGACAUGCAACACCAACAUUCAAUAGCUAACAAUUACGCGUUCAAAUGCACAUAAUUAGUAACACAUACUUAAAAGACUUAAAUGCAAAUAAGAACAAUUAAAGACACAAGCUAGAGAUGAAUGAGUAACAUAAAAGGGAAAUAAGCAAACCAAUGCAUGACUCUAGAACAAAAACUUAGAAUGAUAUAAACCGAAUACAAGGGUUAUAGACACAUAUUAUUGUAGCUCGGUAAAAACUACGAUUUACUACAAAAUAGUAUUAGUGAAACAAAAUAUAUAUAGAAAAUGAAACUAAACUAAACCCUCAUUCUAUUUAAGGCAUGAAAAGUAUAAGACUCCCAAAUCCCUACAAAUAUUGUGAAAGGAAUCCGUUGACAUGUCAUUGAAUGCAUUCGAUAAUUCAAUAUAAGUAUACUCAUUUUCAUAAUCAGAAUUAUAUACCUUUGAAGUUCCACUUUUCUUACGUGCUAUCAAAAAAAAGCUAGCACCCUCAUCAUCUAAACUCGAUCAAGAAUAGAAGGAGGAGCUCUCAUCCUCUUAUUCCCACAUAAUGUAGGCUUUGUGACCUUUGGAAUUCUUUCCCUUCGUCUUGUAGAAAUCCUUGUCUCUUUUUAUGAUGUUUGGUGAGACUUGGACAUGUGGUUAUAUAGUGUCCCAAUUUACCACACUCGUAACACGUGAUAUCAUUAUCAACUUUCUUGUGAUCUUUCAUGGGUGGAUGAGUAUUUAUGAAAUUCCUUAGACCUUAGUCGGUAUGCUUGAGCUAGUUUCUCUUAAGAUAUCUAUUAUAACGUCUGACGAAUAAACCCAUUUCUUCCUUUUUGGAAACUUCUUCGCCAAAGUUGUCACUUUCUUUCUUUGAUUUCUUCCCUUUAGAAGAUGAAUAUUUCAAAGAAAGAUCUUAUUUCUCUUAUUUAUAUUUCUCUUUAUUUUUUGAAUUUACUUCACUAUCGAUGAUUCAUUUCAACUCAUUCUCUGCUUGACUAACUUUCCAAAUAGUUUUGUAAUAUCCAAAGUAUUAAGAUCAUUUGAUUCUUUUAUAGAAGUGACUUUUGAUUGCCACUUCCUGCACAUGGAUCUCAAUAUUUUGUUAGUACAAUCUUUCUUGGAAAAGAUUGUACCAACUUAUACACUUUGUUGAUUAAAUGGAGGAAUCUAGUUUGUAUGGAAUUCAAGGACUCUUUGGGUCCCAUACGAAAUAGUUCAAACUCUUCUAUAAACAUAUUGAUUUCAUAAUCCUUGAUGUCAUCUGUUUCCCCAUAGAGAGUUUGGAGAGUGUACCACAUACCUUUAGCACUCAUAUGAUGUAAAAUUGAAUAGAACACUUUAGCGCUUAACGGAGAAACAAGUAUGUUCCCCGCUUUCAAAUCAUAUGAAGCCUUUUUGGUUUCAACAUCAUCCCAAUCGUUUGGAUGUUUAGCAACGUCAUCAUUUUCCGUUGGAAUAUUCGGUCCCUCGAUGAUGGCACACCACAUAUUUUUUUCAACUGAUAACAAGUGUACAUAUAUGAUUGGUUUCCAAUAACUAUAAUCUUCUCUUUUGGAAAUAGGUUCUCUAUUAUACGCUCCCUUAGGAUCGUCACCUUCUGACAUAUUCAUAACUUUUGGAUGUCGAUUAGACACAAUCAUGAAGCUAGCAGAAAUAUACCCGAACACAUCGCACGCUCGAAGAUACAACAGAGUUCCCAUCAAACUUUAUUUAUUCCUGUAGGAAAAGGAAAAUAUCGAUAAAACCCGGGGCAAGAGAAAAAGGGCAAGGAAGUCAGUUAUGCAAGGGGAAGGUAUUAGCACCCCUCAUAUUCAUUUUAUUAAAUAGGAACCGUUUUGAUUGUUUUAUGGUUGGAUGAGUGUUACAUCUAAAGAUUACUCACAAAAGAAUAAGGGAAAAAGAACGGAAUAGAUAGAGUGCUCGGUGAGGAUUAAGGCACUCAUGCCUACAUAUCCUUAUAGUGAAAUAAGGAAUUCAGAGCUCCGUAGUUCAUAAAACCAAUGACGGGAGAUGAAAGAAGAGUGAUAAAGGUAUGGUUUGAACCAAAUGAUAAUGUGGUUUGAACCCAGAGGGUAGGUAUGUCUGAACCCAAGAGGAAAACUGGCAUAUUGCCAAAACAAAUGGGUAUUGCUUGUAUACGGUUGCAAAGUAAGUAAAGAGAUGUUUUUCUAAGAAACGAGAGGGAUAACAAGACACAAGAGGGUUUACAAGGCAACAUGGAUUCAUCUAGGGACGAGAGUGUCGCAUCCUGCGAAAAAUCAACCGGCGGGACUCAAAUAAAAACACACACAGAGCCGCCACUGCGCGUUAUUUAUCCCAAGAUAGGGAAAGGAAACGCUCAGAGAAACCUGGAAAGGAAAUGGUCUUGCGACCAAAGAGAAAGGGUAAGGGNGGUGUGACACAAAUUGUCACACCUAAGUUCCAAAAUUCAUAACUCAAUCACCAGGAAUCCAAAAUUCACAAAAUUUACAUGUAAAUAACCAUCAACCAGUCUACAAUUACCACAAAAAUUUUCAAGCGUUUCUUUCACAGCAUGAGGAUUUCACAAUGGAUAUGGUAGAAUGUACCAAAAUAUAUCACAUGUUAAUCAACCCUAAGUCAAACACAAUUUUCACCAUGCACAACUUCAAUCAAUAGGUCAAUAAAAUUCUACAGUCAAUUAGGAAGUCAACAAAAAAAACCACAUAUUUUUCUGAUUUUUAAAUUAUUUUUUAUGAAUUUUUUAAAGUGUUUAUGAAUUUUAACAAUUUUUUAGAAUUAAAUUAAUUAAUUGGAUUAACCAAUGGCAUAGUCGUAAUUAACAUGACGCGGGGGCGGUAAACACUGAGUUCAAAUAUUCAAAUGGAAUUUCAGAUCAAACACCAUUUCAUCAUCGUUUUCAUUCCAGAUUUUCCAGAAAAAGCAAGAACACGAAGAACAUGAAAUCUCCACCAAAACUCACAAACGAAUGUCGUUGGGAACCGUCCCUCAACCAUAGAAAGUCCAAUAUCAUCCUAACUCAACCUAAUUGUUCCUAUAUCUAUGGAAUCGAAGGAGUAGGUGUUUGGUUUCAUACUUCCAAUCAAUGAUUUUCAGCCUACAGUCAUCAUUUACUAAAACUAAAGCAUCACGAGCUCUACAUGAAGAGGUUCUACAAAAACGCAAUAAAGCAUCAAAGAACAUGAACAUUCGAAAAAAUCAAAUACCUGGAAUGCAGCGAUGAAAACUUGGUGUUCUUCGUGCGUGUUUUCCAACAAACAGAUGUAGUAGUGUGAUAAGGAAAGUGAUGAUGCGCUCAGGUUCGAACAAAUCAGCUCCUAAUGCUCCAAAUCGCGAUUUGCAUGAAUGAUGCUUGUAGUGUGCAGUCACGAUUCAAAGCUCCUUUCGCUUCCAAAUCUUCAAAAACAGAUGGAGAUGAUGAUGAAUCAAGACCAAUGCUAAAGAAUUUCGCAAAUUGAGCAAGAAUGGAGGAAGUUUGAUGAAUUUGAGUGUGAAGUGUUCUUGAGAGGUUCUUGGAGAAUUUUGAUGAAUUUUGAUCUGAUUUUGGGAAAUGUGUUUUCUCCUUAUGAUUUAGAUGUGAUUAGGAUAUAUACUCAAGCUUAAUUACCACUUAAUCACACUAAUUACCAAAAAUAGAAAUGAUUAGCAAAAGUGGUUAUUUCAAGCCUGGGGCAAAUUGUAUUUCCACAUGCCAGCUCAUUGCCACCCUCAUGGACAGCUCACACAACUCUCAAAAUGACAUGUGUGAGUUGUUGCAACUUGUUUCACCUUCAUUUGGAUGAGUAUUUGAAAUUCACUAUGUUGAUGGCACUUUGUCCAUUUUUGCAAGUUCAUUCCAAAAGCUAUUUUCCAAACCAUGAUGCUUUAAACGUUAUGAUGAUUCCAACAAAUUUCAAAUACCAUUUGUGAAGUGUUGCAAAAUCCCCACUCAAAAAUCCAAUUAUUUCACACGUUGGACAAUUUUUGCCUAUGGUUCAUUUAACUGUCGCAGUUGAAAUUUGACUUUUUGCAUUGACCAUUUUUGAGAAAACCAAUUAUGCACCAUGAAAGUAUAUGUCAAAUGGAGUUUGUGCAUAUAAAGAAAUUCCAAUUUGGAUGCUCCAUGUGGAAGUUAUGGCCUCCUGAUUAUGGGUCAUUUUUAAUUUCACUGAGCCCUAAUUUUCCAACCAUACAUGGGAAUUUUCAAAGUUCUUGGACUUUUUGGAAAGGUGAGACCAAGAUCUACAACUUUCAUGUUGAACAAAUUUUGAUUUGAAGCUUCCUUGGACAUUUUAUUUUGGAGUCAAAAACUUUCCAUUUUUGGAAACUUCUAUUACAAGUCACUUUCCAUUUUUGGCCAUUUUUGUCCUGACUUGAUUUUCUUCAUUCUUAAGCUUUGAGAUGUCAUACAACACUUGUUCCAACUGAAUGAAGUGUAUCCAACUCAUUUCCAACUCCAAAUCCAUCAGAUCAUGUACAGUUGACCACAGUUGACUUUUUCACUAACAAGAUGAAUUUGGCAAUGCAUAGAUCAAUCUGAGCUCCUCCAAUCUCCUGAUGAAAUGCUCAAGGAUGAAACCCUAACUCAAUUAGCUCAAUACAACCACAUAAUGAUCCCCAUAUCCAUCAUAACCACAUCUCCUGAUUAUGCCCUGAACUGGCCCAAUGGUAACUGAUUAGGGUUGACCAGUGGUCAAAAACCUAAUCUCAAGAAUAAGCUUCAAUCUCCUGAUGAUGACAAACCAUGAUGAUGAUGAUGUAUCAUUGUAAUCAAGAUGAAGACCAAUAUCCUUUGAGAAUCAAACAAAACCCUAAUUCACAGCCCAAUCCUCAGAUGGCCAAUGAUCAGUCAAUAAAACCCUAGCUUGCACAUUAACUUCCUCAUCUCCUGAACAAGACUUGUGAGGAUGACUUGCACAAUGUAACCACAUGAUAUGCAAUAUGCAAUGCCUAAUGACCUAAAAAUGAUAUGCCAUAUGUUAAUGCUAGUCCCAAGAGAGGAGGGCAAAUUUUGAGGUGUUACAGAGAGGUCUUAUAAGACGAACAAUGAAUAAGAUAUGAUUUGCCUAAGCACAAUAGGAUUUACAAGGAAAAUAAGCUCAAAGGGGUUGUCUAAGCACAAAAGGUCUUAUAAGAGAACAAUGAAUAAGAGAUAAUUUUCCA